Molecule: long non-coding RNA, 225 nt
Filed under: Physcomitrium patens
Lineage: Eukaryota; Viridiplantae; Streptophyta; Bryopsida; Funariales; Funariaceae
Description: long non-coding RNA (PPAT_LNC005759)
Source: RNAcentral
GAAUUUUUGAUUUUUGAGAUAAAAAGAGAAUAGCAGUUGACUAAUAAAUUAGGAUAUAUAGAAUCUGCUAGGGUUUCUAAAAUGCCAGACAAUCUAUAGUAGAUUUACGGUUCAUUUUUUUUAUAGUAAAGCUUUAAAAUCAAGACUAAAUUAUCUAAAAAUAUUAAAAAAACUGAAUAAUUGAAUUGAAAAAUAUAAAUUUUUGAAAUUUAAAGAGAAAAAUCC